RNAcentral lists this ribosomal RNA (484 nucleotides) under uncultured bacterium. Its description in RNAcentral is "partial 16S ribosomal RNA". It matches the Rfam family "Bacterial small subunit ribosomal RNA", at positions 30 to 507 of the family's 1533-position model. The record is from RNAcentral.
AUUGAACGCUGGCGGCAGGCCUAACACAUGCAAGUCGAGCGGAUGAAGGGAGCUUGCUCCUGGAUUCAGCGGCGGACGGGUGAGUAAUGCCUAGGAAUCUGCCUGGUAGUGGGGGAUAACGUCCGGAAACGGGCGCUAAUACCGCAUACGCCCUGAGGGAGAAAGUGGGGGAUCUUCGGACCUCACGCCAUCAGAUGAGCCUAGGUCGCAUUAGCUAGUUGGUGGGGUAAAGGCCUACCAAGGCGACGAUCCGUAACUGGUCUGAGAGGAUGAUCAGUCACACUGGAACUGAGACACGGUCCAGACUCCUACGGGAGGCAGCAGUGGGGAAUAUUGGACAAUGGGCGAAAGCCUGAUCCAGCAAUGCCGCGUGUGUGAAGAAGGUCUUCGGAUUGUAAAGCUCUUUAAGUUGGGAGGAAGGGCAGUAAGUUCAUACCUUGCUGUUUUGACGUUACCAAAAGAAUAAGCACCGGCUAACUUCGUG